GGUUAAGCGACUAAGCGUACACGGUGGAUGCCCUGGCAGUCAGAGGCGAUGAAGGGCGUGCUAAUCUGCGAUAAGCGCCGGUAAGGUGAUAUGAACCGUUAUAACCGGCGAUACCCGAAUGGGGAAACCCAGUGUGAUUCGUCACACUAUCAUUAACUGAAUCCAUAGGUUAAUGAGGCGAACCGGGGGAACUGAAACAUCUAAGUACCCCGAGGAAAAGAAAUCAACCGAGAUUCCCCCAGUAGCGGCGAGCGAACGGGGAG
This 263-nucleotide ribosomal RNA is filed under the name Salmonella enterica. RNAcentral describes it as "partial 23S ribosomal RNA". It matches the Rfam family "Bacterial large subunit ribosomal RNA", at positions 1 to 264 of the family's 2925-position model. Lineage: Bacteria; Pseudomonadati; Pseudomonadota; Gammaproteobacteria; Enterobacterales; Enterobacteriaceae. The record is from RNAcentral.